Molecule: RNase P RNA, 441 nt
Filed under: marine eukaryotic metagenome
Description: Bacterial RNase P class A
Rfam family: Bacterial RNase P class A
About the family: Ribonuclease P (RNase P) is a ubiquitous endoribonuclease, found in archaea, bacteria and eukarya as well as chloroplasts and mitochondria. Its best characterised activity is the generation of mature 5'-ends of tRNAs by cleaving the 5'-leader elements of precursor-tRNAs.
Source: RNAcentral
AGGCGGCCAGGCGACCGCUGCUUCGACGGAAUAUUCGAAGUAGAGGAAAGUCCGAGCUCCACCGGGUAGGAUGCCUGCUAACGGCAGGGCGGGGUGACCCGACGGAAAGUGCCACAGAAAUAUACCGUCUCGAACUAUUUGAGAUAAGGGUGAAAUGGUGAGGUAAGAGCUCACCGCUUCGGUGGUGACAUCGGAGGCAAGGUAAACCCCAUCUGGAGCAAGGCCUAGUAAGGGGUUAUAGUACUCGGUCUGACUAAAGUUAGACUCUCCUCAGUUUUUUCCUGUGGAGGGCUGCCCCUGGGUUGGCUGCUUGACCACGAUGGCAACAUCGUGGCUAGAUAGAUGGUCGUCGACUAAUUUAGUAUUUGGAUGAAGCCUCGAAAUAUUUGGGUGUAAACAAAUUUUACAUUAGUAACAGAACUCGGCUUAUCGGCCGCCUUG